GACGAACGCUGGCGGCGUGCCUAAUACAUGCAAGUUGAGCGCUGAAGGUUGGUACUUGUACCGACUGGAUGAGCAGCGAACGGGUGAGUAACGCGUGGGGAAUCUGCCUUUGAGCGGGGGACAACAUUUGGAAACGAAUGCUAAUACCGCAUAAAAACUUUAAACACAAGUUUUAAGUUUGAAAGAUGCAAUUGCAUCACUCAAAGAUGAUCCCGCGUUGUAUUAGCUAGUUGGUGAGGUAAAGGCUCACCAAGGCGAUGAUACAUAGCCGACCUGAGAGGGGGAUCGGCCACACUGGGACUGAGACACGGCCCAAACUCCUACGGGAGGCAGCAGUAGGGAAUCUUCUGCAAUGGACGAAAGUCUGACCGAGCAACGCCGCGUGAGUGAAGAAGGUGUUCGGAUCGUAAAACUCUGUUGGUAGAGAAGAACGGUGGUGAGAGUGGAAAGCUCAUCAAGUGACGGUAACUAACCAGAAAGGGACGGCUAACUACGUGC
This 498-nucleotide ribosomal RNA is filed under the name uncultured bacterium. Its description in RNAcentral is "partial 16S ribosomal RNA". It matches the Rfam family "Bacterial small subunit ribosomal RNA", at positions 28 to 508 of the family's 1533-position model. The record is from RNAcentral.